UCGGCGAUGGAUCAUUCAAGUUUCUGACCUAUCAGCUUUCGACGGUACUGUAUUGGACUACCGUGGCAGUGACGGGUAACGGGGAAUUAGGGUUCGAUUCCGGAGAGGGAGCCUGAGAAACGGCUACCACAUCUAAGGAAGGCAGCAGGCGCGCAAAUUACCCAAUCCUGACUCAGGGAGGUAGUGACAAGAAAUAACAACACUGGAAAUUAUAUUUCUAGUGAUUGGAAUGAUGGGAAUCCAAACCCCUUUCAGAGUAACAAUUGGAGGGCAAGUCUGGUGCCAGCAGCCGCGGUAAUUCCAGCUCCAAUAGCGUAUAUUAAAGUUGUUGCAGUUAAAAAGCUCGUAGUUGGAUAUCUGCUGGAAGCAGCCAGUCCGCCCUUUGCGGGUGUGCACUUGGUGAAUUCUGGCAUCCUCCUGAUUGGUGUCAUCAUCACUUCAUUGUGUUGGUGGCAGCUGUCAGGACCGUUACUUUGAGAAAAUUAGAGUGUUUCAAGCAGGCUUGUUGCCUUGAAUACUGCAGCAUGGAAUAACAAGAUAGGAUUUCGGUUCUAUUUUGUUGGUUUCUAGGACUGAAGUAAUGAUUAAUAGGGACAGUUGGGGGCAUUCGUAUUUAACUGUCAGAGGUGAAAUUCUUAGAUUUGUUAAAGACGAACUACUGCGAAAGCAUUUGCCAAAGAUGUUUUCAUUAAUCAAGAACGAAAGUUAGGGGCUCGAAGACGAUCAGAUACCGUCGUAGUCUUAACCAUAAACUAUGCCGACUAGAGAUAGG
Molecule: ribosomal RNA, 772 nt
Filed under: Sarcocystis svanai
Lineage: Eukaryota; Apicomplexa; Conoidasida; Eucoccidiorida; Sarcocystidae
Description: SSU rRNA
Rfam family: Eukaryotic small subunit ribosomal RNA
Source: RNAcentral